CUUCUACUGCUAUGUGCUAGUGUUUCACCUGAAGCUAUCAUUUUCUUCUGCUGCUAUGUGUGGACAAGAACAACUAUACAUUGCAAAUUCCACAAGCUUUCAUUCACACAGAAAUUCGUUUACAACAUAGGCCAGUCUUGUAAGAGAAUAAAAUUCAGAAAGGAAAAUACAGAAUAGUUGCCUUUGUUCAGGCUUUUACAGCUCAAAUCACACACAAAAAUCUACAGGAACUUGUUAGUUGAUGCUGUUUGGCGUGGCGCCGCGAGCUUGGCCGCCGGAAAACAUGGUGGGUGCCGGCGGGGAUGGAGAGCCACGAGCAGGCCGGCGUCGAGGAGCAUGCCGACGAGCAGCUACGAGCCUACGACGGUGCCGCGACCUGGGCCGCCAACGAACGCGGCCGUGCCCGCGGGAAUGGAGGACGUCGAGCAGGGGAGUUGGGUCCAGCGUCGAGGAGCACACCGGCGGCGAUGUGGCGAGCAGCCGGAGUGGAUCACGCCGGCGGCCGGAAUUGGGGGCGUUGGAGGAGUUGGGCUAGGGAUUUGAUGCACGCUCGACCUGGUCUUCGGCUCGGGAUAAGGUGACUCUGCGCUGAGAUUCGUGCUGCCAGAUGUCAUGCGCGCGAGGUGGUCUUUCGUUUGGUCUCGUGCGACCCGGUCGUGCCAGAUUUUUUUCCCUCCGCCGUCGGCAUUUGGCGGACUCGGAGUGAGGGGCAAGGUCUCAACGACGCAAGUCACCGUCGUCCUCCGCCUCCUGCCUGCCGUUGCUCGCCCGCGCCGCUGUCCUCAGACCUCAGUCCCGGCCUCGCGCAGUCGACCAGCCGGUCACCGUCGUCCCUCAUCCCCUCCCCCUUCGCAGAUAUCUGGUGUGACAGGUGCCACUCAAGAGGCGACGCGCGCACACCAGCUGUUCGAAGAAAUGCAUCCCCGAAGUGUUUUCUACUCCCUCUGGCCCCAGCGAGAGACGACGCAUCGUCAAGAAUGACCUUUGGGUCUGUCUUUGAGAGGAGAGUGGCGUGGCCACUCAUGAGAUUGCGGACCAUGGGCGGUGCGCCCAUCCUGCAGCAGCUCCACCUGGUGGAAACGCUACUGCACCGCACCAGCGAUGACUGGUGCAUCGUCAAUGAUGGCACGGUUCUGUCCACCAUUUUCAUGGUUGUCUCUGGGUCUCUGAGUUGAGGUACAGCCUGUUCUUCGAGAUCAUGUGCCGGUGGAAGGCGGUUCAGUGGAGGUGGCACUGUCAUUGUUGAUCAGGGGAUGGUCAAUGUUCGUCGCCUUCAUAUGCAACAAGACUGCUGUCUCUGGGUUGCAGCCGUUUCCUCGAGACAUCAUGUCAUGGACAGGCCAGCUGUAUGGUUCCGUGGAUUCGGCGAAUUUCAUCUCCGUGAAAAUGGCAAGGAACCAAACAGAUUUCCUGUGCCGCAUGAACGAGCAUCACGAUCAGUUUUCACCGAGGGGAUAACCGCGGCCCUCGGAGACCACUUUACGGUCCAACACAGAGCUAGAAACGGCGCUCUCCGACCACGACGACUUCGUGCCUUCUACGAAGGUGCUAUCGCUGCAGGACUUGCAAGACAUCAUCUCCAAAGAGUCCCCCACAGCACAGAGGGUUCAAGGAUGGCCACGGUGAUGAAGAUAACUGCUUGUUUUGUGACACAUGGCGAUUUGUAUGCCGCAUGAUGAACUCGGCUUAGAGUUUAGUCACUCACUGCUGUCACGUGAUUUAGACAAACCAAUCAAUCAAUCAGAAGUUGUAAUUCCGAUAUUUUUGGCAGCCUUGAUUUGGUGCUUCAAACUAUAGAACAUGCUUGGUUGGCAGGCCUGAAGCUGUGGUAUAGCUCACCUGCAGCAGGUUUACUGACGUUGUAUAGAAUUUGCGUCAAUUAAUUCGGA
This is a long non-coding RNA of Triticum aestivum (bread wheat), 1889 nucleotides long. RefSeq lists it as uncharacterized. The record is from RefSeq and is a predicted model, not a curated record. Lineage: Eukaryota; Viridiplantae; Streptophyta; Magnoliopsida; Poales; Poaceae. The transcript is spliced from 3 exons.